RNAcentral lists this transfer RNA (70 nucleotides) under Ovis aries (sheep). It matches the Rfam family "tRNA". Rfam says of the family: Transfer RNA (tRNA) molecules are approximately 80 nucleotides in length. The record is from Rfam by way of RNAcentral. Lineage: Eukaryota; Metazoa; Chordata; Mammalia; Artiodactyla; Bovidae.
UUAAUUGGAUCAGAUGGUAAAGAAUUUGUCUGCAAUGCAAGAGACACAGGUUCAAUCCCUGUCAGGAAGA